RNAcentral lists this ribosomal RNA (459 nucleotides) under uncultured bacterium. Its description in RNAcentral is "partial 16S ribosomal RNA". It matches the Rfam family "Bacterial small subunit ribosomal RNA", at positions 338 to 795 of the family's 1533-position model. The record is from RNAcentral.
CCUACGGGAGGCAGCAGUGAGGAAUAUUGGUCAAUGGGCGGGAGCCUGAACCAGCCAAGCCGCGUGAGGGAAGAAGGUACAGCGUAUCGUAAACCUCUUUUGUCAGGGAACAAAGACGGGGACGAGUCCCCGGAUGAGGGUAACUCAAGAAAAAGCAUCGGCUAAACCCGUGCCAGCCGCCGCGGUAAUACGGAGGAUGCCAGGGUUAUCCGGAUUUAAUGGGGUAAAAGGGUGUGCAGGCGGGCUUUGAAGUCAGCGGUAAAAGCCCGGGGUUCAACCCCGGCGGGCCGGUGAAACUGGCGGGCUGGAGUUGGAGAGAAGUACGCGGAAUGCGCGGUGUAGCGGUGAAAUGCUUAGAUAUCACGCAGAACCCCGAUUGCGAAGGCAGCAUACCGGCUCCACACUGACGCUGAGGCACGAAAGCGUGGGUAUCGAACAGGAUUAGAUACCCGAGUAGUC